RNAcentral lists this long non-coding RNA (1016 nucleotides) under Mytilus galloprovincialis (Mediterranean mussel). The record is from RNAcentral. Lineage: Eukaryota; Metazoa; Mollusca; Bivalvia; Mytilida; Mytilidae.
AGCUAUUUAAAUUGUAACACGAAUUUCAAACUUAUUUUUAUCCCUUUAUGAACCCCUGAUUUUUGAAAAAGUGUUCCAUGAUGAAAUGACUUUGCACAAAAUAUAGCUGUGUUACUAUAUUUAGGAAAUAUACACAACUAGUUGCAUUAUAUAUGCAAUUUGAAUUGACUGACAUAAUUUCCAUAGUAUUACAUGAUUUGCUAUGGUAAACAAUAAAUGUUGUGCCACAGGUAAUAAACAUGUGAAGAAUAUGCUAAAUCCUAGCAGUACAAAAAAAAAGUGGAACAAAUUUUAUGCAUAUAUCAGCUCAAACCGAACAAUUCAGUCCCUCCCUUUAAUCCAUCUCUCCUACUUGUGAGGGCCUGAAUACCUAACACGUUAAAAAUGUUCACUAAGCCUGGAUUGUAAUCGGUGUCUUGUAGAAGAGAGGAUCUAUCAGCAAUCAUCUCAAUUUUGAUGAGAUCUGUAAAUCCAGAGCUAAUUCUGAAUGGUUGAUUGAAGAUUUUUUAUUGUCUAUGCAUUCAGGCGUUAAUAAAGUAACUGUAGAUCAGGUGAAUAUAACAACUGAAUUAUUUGGGUUAAUAUCGGCUAUCAAAUCUGAUCUCGAAGAUGUGAUGUUGCAUCAAGGCAAAAGCAACUUAAAGAAAUCGACAAUAAUAAGCGAAAGAAUGACUUGAAAGGAGAAGACAAUACAAAUGAUUGUUUGACAAAGAAUAGAGGGUAACUAGAUGGACAGAGAGGCCUGGUCUGUUUGUGCACCCAAAAUAAUUCCGUUUAUAAACAGAGUUGCAGGGACAAAAUUAGAGACUCACAAAGUCAAAAACACAUAUUAUUCUUACACACUGCCCUAUUUCAAAUUAUGUGGAAUUCUUUUCAUAUCUACUGUAAAUGACAAAAGAAAAAAAAACGAACAUUGAAUACAGUCCAAACAUUAAACUUUGGUAGUUUUAAGACUUUGCACUUUUUAUUGAUACAGCCAUUGACAGUAUGGUUAAUUUUAGAGUAUAAAACAUUCC